GGGGAUUACCCAAUCCCC
RNAcentral lists this unclassified non-coding RNA (18 nucleotides) under synthetic construct. Its description in RNAcentral is "ANTICODON STEM-LOOP OF TRANSFER RNA WITH ANTICODON ACCC from synthetic construct (PDB 2UXB, chain Y)". The record is from RNAcentral.